RNAcentral lists this ribosomal RNA (59 nucleotides) under Bursaphelenchus sp. PL-72. RNAcentral describes it as "partial 28S ribosomal RNA". The record is from RNAcentral. Lineage: Eukaryota; Metazoa; Nematoda; Chromadorea; Rhabditida; Aphelenchoididae.
GUAAAUCACCUGAGAUGAGUACGAUUACCUGCUGAACUUAAGCAUAUCAGUAAGCAGAG